Molecule: long non-coding RNA, 6568 nt
Filed under: Nicotiana tabacum (common tobacco)
Lineage: Eukaryota; Viridiplantae; Streptophyta; Magnoliopsida; Solanales; Solanaceae
Description: long non-coding RNA (NTAB_LNC000228)
Source: RNAcentral
AGAAUAUUAGAUAAACGAGUUAAAGACAAAAUAAACGAUCAAACCAGUUGUAAUAUUAUGGCCUAGACCGAAAGAUUGAAUAGUGACCUCGUCCUAGAUUGGACCCUUGGUUCGAGCCCAGUUUUGAAUGAAGAACAAAACAGUUAAAUAAGAACUUUAGCAAUAAUUAAAAGGCAGAAAAAUAAACUUGUAUUACUUUGAUUUGCGUAUUAGACUGUGUUAUAAAAGAAAAACUUUUUCUUUAUAUAAUGAGUUUCAUCAUCCCUAGUAUAAAUCUAAAAAAGGUAAAAAUAUUUCUUUCUCCUUAAUUACUGAUCUAUAACCGAGAUCGAGCGAGAUCCGUGUCAUGAUAUCUGGUUAGGUGCGAAUAUCACGGCCUUCUAUCCGUCAUGUGUAACCGUUUACCGUGUUUCCCGAGGUCUUAGAACUUGUUCUGGGUUCGGGACGCGUUGCUUUAUCAUACCCGAUGAUGAACACAUCGUUCACUUUUAAGGGAUCUCGAUACGAAGGGCUCCCAGGUUCGAUUUCAAUCUCGUACGUCCAUGCCCUUCUUAUGUUUUCUUCACCGGGAAAUCGGGGUAUGCAUUAUACCCGAUUUUACCCGUAUACACAUUUCACAGAUUACUGAGAACUUAGGAGUUAAGUAUUCUUUCUUAGAUAAAGUGUUGGAUGAAGAAAAUUAAUUAUACUAAGAUAUAUGCAAAUUCUUGGUUGUAAUAGGAAGGUACGAUAAGUGGAGUUUGAUUAAGCUUUUACAAUUUGGCAUUGAAUCAAAGAGGAUCCGUAUAUGCUGGAAAAUGAUAAGCGUAUAUUUGGAAAAGGAGAAAGUUGAGGCAAUAACUCUACCUCUUUUUUGCUAACAGUAUGUUCAGUCUGUUUUUUUAACUAAUUUUUGUUAGGUUUCGUGAAUGGGCGUGAAUGGGAAAUGAAAGAGGCACCUUUUGAAUUGCACCUCUUCAUCUCACCCUUUCAUUGUCUAUAAAUUUUAGAGACUUAGCCUCAUUUUCAUACAAGGAAAAAACCCAGAAAUUCUCCCUGUCUUCUUUGCAUUAUUUUUCCAAAACAAAAUAUAAGUGUCAUGUGUGAUUUGUUCCAUCUUAUUGCGUUCGCUGAAACACUGGGGUUUGAGAUACCGCUACACCAGUGUGGAUAAUCUGUUCUAUCCUGGGAGGAAAUAAUCCUAAACCUCGGGUACUAGAAAAGGAUUAAAUUCCUUAAGGACACACUGUGUAUUCAGUGAGCUCGGAUUUAAUUUUGUUCUUCCCACGCGUUUUUGUUUCUUUUUAUUUUACAAAGUUUUCUGGUUUCGAACACAAAUUACAAACAAUCUUAAGGAACUUAACAAUUUAUUUUCUGUGUUUAUCUUAACAUCUGACUUUUGAAAAUGAGAAAGAGAAUUCUUAUUGCAAAAAGGUGACUGAUCGAGAGUAAAAUUGAAGAAAUACGUAUGCCUACUUUGUCGAAACAACGGAACGAGUUGGUCCAGAAAAUAUGGGAGACUCAGGUUCGACUGCAUCAUGAGAAUAUUUUCUUUUAAUUUUGCAUUAUGAAAUAUGUAUUAAGAGAUGCAGAUAUCACUCAAAGGUGGUCAUUAGUUUGUCUUGAAUAAUGGAUCAUCAAAGAAAGUUGGGAAUUGCAAACAAGGAAAUCUCGUCUGUUUCUCCCUUUGGUCUUUUGACUAUUAUGAAAAUUAAUUAGUAGAAAAAAAAAGGGAAGGAAAGGUGAAAUCCUUAUAAUUGACUGGGAAGACGUUGGUUGAAAUCAUGAAGACAUGGCAACAGUGAUGCAGAAAAUGCUCUUAAAUGUUGAAAUAUCUCAUCACUGGCUUAGAAAAAUGAUUGGUUAUCAAUUGUGAUGGCCUGUUUCGUUUUGGGGUGUCUGACAAUUUAAAUUUGUUAGAAUUUGUAACCACCCUGAAAUAUUCGUAGGGAUCUUGGCACUGUUGUUAUCAGUUACUGAAGUCUUCAUGGCUUUGCAACAUAUUGGACCAAAGGAUUGACCUUGUUCGUUUAUGGCUUACUUUAAGUUAUCAUUAAAGUGGAUCAAAGUCUCCUAUUUAAUCCCGUUACACAAUGAUUAAAAAGAAAGGCAACAUAAAUGAACAAUGAACAUUUGAACGUGUGGAUUCACUAGUUGGACUGUACAAGUGUUGCAGCGGUUCAUAAGAUUUGCAUCGUUCUGGUAAAUUUCCAAAGGAAUUCUGAAAGGAGCAUUGCUCUCGGUACAUGAAUAUCAAAGUCUUUGUGGGACUAACUCAAUGUCUUCAACAGAAAGUGACAACUAUACCGGGUUAUGCUUUCUUUACUUUAUUUUUGAUUUUCUACCCUGUGUAAUUUAUGAAACUAAGCUUUUGAAUGUUAGGGUAGAGGUUUAUUAUGUGAUGAUCUCAAAAUAUAUCCUAUUUGCAUGCUAGGAAUAGGAUAACAUAUUAUUGAAGGAAAAUUGUUAUUCCGUAUACCAAAUAGAAUUGAUUUGUCAGUAUAUAAUUGGUUAGCAUGCAUAAAAAUAUGUGAUGGUUUAUUUUCAAGGUAUGUAAGAUGUGAAUUAGGCUUACAUUAAUACUUGAAAAUUGUUUUGAGAUCAUAAAUAUAAUAUAUGUAAAGAUGAACAUAUAUGUGUUUGAUUAGAGAAAGAGAUCAAACUGUUUAAAGUGUUAUAAUGGUUUAGUUGAAAAAUCAUUUGGAAAGGGAAUUAAAAUUCUCGUGAUUUUCUACAGCCAUUAUGGAGAAUAAAAUCUUCGUGAUUUUCUACUCCUGCUUCGAGAUCAAAAUUUGCAUGAUUUUUUACUCGUUCGUGGAGAUUAAAGUCUUCGUGACUUUUUACUCAUUUGUGGGAAAUUAAAGUCUAAGUGACUUUAUGCUCGUUUUGGAGAUUAAAAUCUUAGUGAUUUUCUACUCCAAUUCAUUAUUCAGUUUGAAGAUUAAAAACUUCACCAUUUAUUAAAUUUGAUUGUGUCACAUAUUAUUCGGUUUGAAGAUUAAUAAACUUCACCGUUUAUUAAUUCUGAAUGUGUCAUAUUGGUUUGAAGAUUAAAAUUUUUACCAUUUAUUAAUUCUGGCUCUGUCGUGACACAAACAAUAGUUCUUGUGGUUGGCUCAACAACGUAAUAGGGGCAUCGAAUAUGAAUCUCAUUUUGAAGAAAUAUAUUUGGAAUAUGAAAUUAUUCACCAAACGACCGCCCCUUAGUCACCGCAAUCUAAUGAAAUUGCAGAAAGAAAGAAUAGAACGUCAAAGGAGACGAUGAAUGCCUAGUUGAUAAGUUCUGGUUUACCCAAAACUUGGGGGGGGGGGUAGGGGGGGGGGGGUAACUACGCUUACAGCUAACCGAAAACGCAUUCGCGUUUCCCAUAGCAAGACAUAAUCCAUUCAGUAUGAAAAAUGGAAAGGAAGAAAACCCAACUUGAAAUAUUUCCAAGUGUGGGGGGUAUUUGGGUAAAGUGCAAGUUCUUAAACUCAAAAGGAUACAAAUUGGAUCGAAAACCAUUGAUUCCGUUUUCAUAAGAUAUGCAACAAAUAGUAAGGCAUAUCGUUUUCUGAUUCAUAAAUCAGAAAAUAGCGACAUUCAUAUUAAUAUGGUAAUCGAAUCAGAUAAUGUUGAAUUCUUUGAGAAUAUGCAUCCGUAUAAAAAGGAAUGUGAGUCGUCUAGUGAAAUAUCUAAGCGAACUUGGGAAGAAGCAAAGGAAAGUACGUUGAAUUAGGAAAAUCCAAGACAUAGUAAACGUCAAAGGAUAACUAUUUCAUUUGGACCAGAUUUUGUGACUUUCUUAUUGGAAAAUAAGCCUCGAACAUUUAAAGAAGCUAUGUCUUUUUCGUAAUCAUUUUUUUGGAAAGAGGCAGUCAAUAGUGAAAUAGAAUCCAUAUUGAACAACUAUACAUAGGAAUUGAUUGAUCUUCCUCCUAGGAAUAAACCAUUGGGUUCUAAAUGGAUGUUUAAGAGGAAAAUAAAGGAUGAUGACACUAUUGAUAAAUAUAAGUCAAGACUUAUUGUCAAAGGGUAUAGACAAUAAAAAGAUCUUGACUAUUUUAACACGUACUCUUCGGUUAUGAGUAUUACGUACAUAUGGAUGUUAGUAGCAUUGGCUAUGGUGUAUGGUCUUGAAAUCUAUUAAAUGGAUGUGAGGACAAAAUAAUAUUAUCAAAUGGUUUCAAAAUUAAUGAGUGUAAACAAAUGUGUUUACAUUAAGAAUACCUCAAAUCAUAUAAUCGUUAUUUGAUUAUAUGUAGAUGAUAUGUUGAUGAAAUAUUUAAAAUGUGGGGGCUUUUAGCUUAUACAUGACAAAAGUCAAUGUUAGAUGUAAUGUCUAAAUGAUAUAAUUUUUGAACCCUACCCAUCCUUAAUGGAUAUUGAUAUGAUAGUCGGUGAGUUUAUUACUUGUUCAGUCUUAGUGAUGACUAGUGAUGAAACUACACAUUCGAAAAUUGCUUAUGUGCCGUUCCAGAAAUGAUUUGUUCUUUUUUAAACAUUUAUAAUGUUUAGCUCUUUUAUGAAAGGGUGUCACCUGUAAGGCUGUGACUUUUCAUGAAAAGUGUGUUUGUAUGUUUUGUAUAAACAUGACCGUUCAUGAACGAAUGUAUUAAUACGUUGGUCUAUAAUAAGGUGAAUCAACCGAUGAACAUGACCAAAAUUCAUUGCAAGUUGGAUUUAUUUCAUGAAUGAAGGUUCUAUAAUUUGCAUAUCAUAUAGACGUAUGAAUAAAUAGCAUACAAAUGCUUGAAAAUGGCAGAGUUAUUGCAAAAUGUGUUAUAUAUUAAAAGGUUGUGGCCACAAGUGAUGCCAAUCAUUCCUCCUGUUGUUAUAAUAUAUUAUUACUAUAUUAAGCGUAGUCAAUAAUCUGAUAUGCAAUAGAAUGUCGAGACGUAUUAGUCUACAACAUAAGGAAGUUUGCAUUGAAUUGUCAAGACAAUAAAAUGAGUUUUGGGAUAUUUAAAAUAUAUGCAUGACUAUGUAUUGCGCUAUAAUAAUUAUCUUGCUGGUAUUGAAGGGUAUAGUGAUGCAAAUUGAAUCACCGGAUAAACCUAAAAUAAAUCUACAAGUGGAUAUAUUUUUAGAAACAGUGGAGGACCAGUGUCUUGAAAAUCAUUCAAACAAACAUGCAUUACCACUCUACAAUGAAGGAUGAGUUUAUAACCUUAGACAAGGCCGGUGAAGAAGCUGGAUGGCUCCGAAAUUUCUUGAAGAAAUUCCAUCUUAGCCCAAAAUAUUGGCACAUAUAUGCAUGCAUUGUAAUGGUCAAGCGGCAAUAGGCAGGGCUGGGAGCAUUAUGUAUAAUAGAAAAUCUUGUCAUAUACGACGAAGACAUAAAACCGUUCGGCAACUACUCUCUGGGGGAAUUAUCAUAAUUGACUACGUAAAGUCAAGCGAUAAUGUGUCGGAUCCACUUACAAAAGGCCUAACUAGAGAGGUAGUUGAAAGAUCAUCGAUGGGAAUGGGACUAUGGCUGAGGACAAGUCACUGUGGCGGUAACUCUACCUAGAAGACUGGAGAUCCCAAGAUCUAGGUUCAAGGAGAUCAAACAAAGUCAUUUGUGACAGUUCAACAUUGUCAAAUAAAAGUUUGGUUCAUUCUCGUGAUGAGACAAUGUUCAGUACCAAGGAUAAAGCGUAAAGGCUUUUUAAUAGUUUUUAAGUUUGAUACGGGGUAUAUCAAAUUGUUUAUCUACAGGAUAACACAUUUAGGAAUCAUCUAUGUAAGUGUAAAGUGUUAGCCGCUUCAAGGCGAAUUUUGUAAGUCCAAUUCUCUAUGCACUUAUGAAACCAGGCGGUGUUCAUGGCUUAAACGAACACAACAAUGAGAACCAAAGGCAGUUAAGGGUUGAUUGUGUAACUUAUGGUUGUCUAGGUAUACACCAAAGCUCGACGGUUCAAAGAUAUCAAAUCUACCGAUUGAUCGAGUAUAUCCGAUAUAUGUUCGCUACGAAAAGUUCAAAGGGAAACCUACUUAUCCAGAUGCGAUUAAUUCUUACUUGCGAAUCACACAAGUUUUUUGCAUGUUUUUUUAAACAUAUUGCCAUUCCCCAUUCAUGUUGGGGAUUGUUAGGUUUCGUGAAUAGGUGUGAAUGGGAAAUGGAAGAGGCACCUUUUGAAUUGCACCUCUUCAUCUCACCCUUUUAUUGUCUAUAAAUUUUAGAGGCUUAGCCUCAUUUUCAUACAUGGAAAAAAUUCAGAAAUUCUCCCAGUCUUCUUUGCAUUAUUUUUCCAAAACAAAAUAUAAGUGUCAUGUGUGAUUUGCUCCGCCUUAUUGCGUUCGCUGAAACACUGGGGUUUGAGGUACCGCUACACCAGUGUGGAUAAUCCGUUCUAUCCUUGGAGGAAAUAAUCCUAAACCUCGGGUACUAGAAGGGGAUUAAGUUCCUUAGGGACAAACUGUAAAUUCAAUGGGCAAGGAUUUAAUUUUGUUCUUCCUAUGCAUUUCUGUUUCUCCUUUACUUUACAAACUUUUCUGGUUUCGAACACAGAUUACAAACAAUUUUGUCGUACAGAUUCUGUGUCUUGCAUUGUUUUUGUCAUAAGGGAACAUUAGCCCAUUCUCUGCAAAUAUUUCUUUGGUUUUUACUAGUCUUAUCUGAUU